AUGACUGGUGUUUGCAACAUUGUCCAUGUGUUGGUUCUCUGCCGUCAUAGCUAUAUUCAACGUGUAUCAGCUUUGCAGUGGAGCAUGUUGUUCGCCGUGGGUCGAACUGAGGCCAAGACUGAUGAGUUGAAGGCGAGAACAAACUACUACUCUACCCAGCAACUUAUACAGAGAUGUGGUCUUGACCCUGCUCAAGCUCAUCCACACCGCUGUCACUAUAGCUGCUUCUGUGAGUCUCUUGUCAUCUUCUUCGCCGCCCACAUUCGCUUCCCACAGCUGUGGAUGACGACAAGGAGGUGGUGGGUGACAUGGGCAAAUAGUGCUUGGAUGUCCAUGUUGCUUGUCUGCGUGUCUGCAUAG
This 360-nucleotide ribosomal RNA is filed under the name Triticum aestivum (bread wheat). Its description in RNAcentral is "partial small subunit ribosomal RNA". Lineage: Eukaryota; Viridiplantae; Streptophyta; Magnoliopsida; Poales; Poaceae. The record is from RNAcentral.